AACGAAGACUUAAAUAUUUCCUCAAUAAUUUUUAAGGAUUUUUUAUUUAACAAUGAUAUUAAUAAUUCUGUUUUUAUUUUUUUCAGAUUAUCAUUGCAAUUGUGCGCGAGUAAUGAAUAAAUCGAGUAUUGUGUCGCUAAACUAAAAACACAAAACUCGCGAAAUAGAAGUAGUGUUUAUUCGUCAAUAAAAAUUUUUACGAUUAAGAUUGUGACGUUAAAUCAGCUCUGAGGAGUUUGAAAUAAGUGUCCUGAAUCAAUUACGUGCAAAACAGUCAGUUAUAGAAAGUUGUAUUUUUCUAUUUUGUGAAUUGUAGUUAAAUUUAAAGAAUUAAAUUCAGUGUCAUCUUAUAAUAAAUAAAUAAUUAUCGCGUGUUAGAGUCAGUGCUUGGAAGAUGAUCAAGAAAUUAGUACACAUCUUUUGUAAUAGAAUAUUGAUGAUUCACUAUAAUGAUGCGUUAUAAUAAUCCAUAAAAGUUUCAACCUGGAAGUAUACGUUGAUGUCUACCUUACCUAAUUUUCAACCUACUGUGGAUCAACUUCCCUCAAUUUCGAGCUACGACCCGAACGAGUGUUUUAAAGCCAUCAGAGAACUUCUUAAGUAAUAAUCAUCAUUGGAUUUGCUAGCGUCAAUCUUUAUCUUUUUUGUGUAUUAGAG
Molecule: long non-coding RNA, 657 nt
Organism: Vespula vulgaris
Lineage: Eukaryota; Metazoa; Arthropoda; Insecta; Hymenoptera; Vespidae
Exons: 3
Source: RefSeq, a predicted model, not a curated record